Molecule: long non-coding RNA, 3030 nt
Filed under: Struthio camelus australis
Lineage: Eukaryota; Metazoa; Chordata; Aves; Struthioniformes; Struthionidae
Description: lncRNA (ENSSCUG00000001254.1)
Source: RNAcentral
CACGCUGCGCCCCAGAGAUGGACCCAGGACCCAUAGCAUGGUCCAAGCAUGGACCCAGCACCCCUUGAUGGACCUACUUUAUGAGCUACUAAUCACGCUGCGCCCCAGAGAUGGACCCAGGACCCAUAGCAUGGUCCAAGUAUGGACCCAGCACCCCUUGAUGGACCUACUUUAUGAGCUACUAAUCACGCUGCGCCCCAGAGAUGGACCCAGGACCCAUAGCAUGGUCCAAGUAUGGACCCAGCACCCCUUGAUGGACCUACUUUAUGAGCUACUAAUCACGCUGCGCCCCAGAGAUGGACCCAGGACCCAUAGCAUGGUCCAAGUAUGGACCCAGCACCCCUUGAUGGACCUACUUUAUGAGCUACUAAUCACGCUGCGCCCCAGAGAUGGACCCAGGACCCAUAGCAUGGUCCAAGUAUGGACCCAGCACCCCUUGAUGGACCUACUUUAUGAGCUACUAAUCACGCUGCGCCCCAGAGAUGGACCCAGGACCCAUAGCAUGGUCCAAGUAUGGACCCAGCACCCCUUGAUGGACCUACUUUAUGAGCUACUAAUCACGCUGCGCCCCAGAGAUGGACCCAGGACCCAUAGCAUGGUCCAAGUAUGGACCCAGCACCCCUUGAUGGACCUACUUUAUGAGCUACUAAUCACGCUGCGCCCCAGAGAUGGACCCAGGACCCAUAGCAUGGUCCAAGUAUGGACCCAGCACCCCUUGAUGGACCUACUUUAUGAGCUACUAAUCACGCUGCGCCCCAGAGAUGGACCCAGGACCCAUAGCAUGGUCCAAGUAUGGACCCAGCACCCCUUGAUGGACCUACUUUAUGAGCUACUAAUCACGCUGCGCCCCAGAGAUGGACCCAGGACCCAUAGCAUGGUCCAAGUAUGGACCCAGCACCCCUUGAUGGACCUACUUUAUGAGCUACUAAUCACGCUGCGCCCCAGAGAUGGACCCAGGACCCAUAGCAUGGUCCAAGUAUGGACCCAGCACCCCUUGAUGGACCUACUUUAUGAGCUACUAAUCACGCUGCGCCCCAGAGAUGGACCCAGGACCCAUAGCAUGGUCCAAGUAUGGACCCAGCACCCCUUGAUGGACCUACUUUAUGAGCUACUAAUCACGCUGCGCCCCAGAGAUGGACCCAGGACCCAUAGCAUGGUCCAAGUAUGGACCCAGCACCCCUUGAUGGACCUACUUUAUGAGCUACUAAUCACGCUGCGCCCCAGAGAUGGACCCAGGACCCAUAGCAUGGUCCAAGUAUGGACCCAGCACCCCUUGAUGGACCUACUUUAUGAGCUACUAAUCACGCUGCGCCCCAGAGAUGGACCCAGGACCCAUAGCAUGGUCCAAGUAUGGACCCAGCACCCCUUGAUGGACCUACUUUAUGAGCUACUAAUCACGCUGCGCCCCAGAGAUGGACCCAGGACCCAUAGCAUGGUCCAAGUAUGGACCCAGCACCCCUUGAUGGACCUACUUUAUGAGCUACUAAUCACGCUGCGCCCCAGAGAUGGACCCAGGACCCAUAGCAUGGUCCAAGUAUGGACCCAGCACCCCUUGAUGGACCUACUUUAUGAGCUACUAAUCACGCUGCGCCCCAGAGAUGGACCCAGGACCCAUAGCAUGGUCCAAGUAUGGACCCAGCACCCCUUGAUGGACCUACUUUAUGAGCUACUAAUCACGCUGCGCCCCAGAGAUGGACCCAGGACCCAUAGCAUGGUCCAAGUAUGGACCCAGCACCCCUUGAUGGACCUACUUUAUGAGCUACUAAUCACGCUGCGCCCCAGAGAUGGACCCAGGACCCAUAGCAUGGUCCAAGUAUGGACCCAGCACCCCUUGAUGGACCUACUUUAUGAGCUACUAAUCACGCUGCGCCCCAGAGAUGGACCCAGGACCCAUAGCAUGGUCCAAGCAUGGACCCAGCACCCAUACAGCGACCCAGGGAUGGACCCAGCACCCAUAACACGACCUAAACUGUCAUCUACUAAGCAUGUUGCGCCCCAGAGAUGGACCCAAGACCCAUAGCGUGACCCAGGCAUGGACCUGAAGCUCAUGGUGGGACCCAGGGAUGGACCCAGCACCCAUAGCAUGACCCAGGCAUGGACCUGAAGCUCAUGGUGGGACCCAGGGAUGGACCCAAGACCCAUAACAUGAUCUAUGUCAUGAUCUAACUAAUCAUGUUGUGACCCAGAGAUGGACCCAAGACCCAUAACACAACCUACAUUGUCAUCUACUAAGCAUGUUGUGACCCAUACAGGGACCCAGCACCCGUAGCGUGACCCAGGCAUGGACCUGAAGCUCGUGGUGGGACCCAGGGAUGGACCCAGCACCCCUUGAAGGACCUACAUUAUGAUCUACUAAUCAUGCUGCGCCCCAGAGUUGGGCUCAAGACCCAUAGCGUGACCCACGGAUGGACCUGAAGUUCAUGGUGGGACCCAGGGAUGGAGUCAGGACCUAUGGUGGGACUCACUGAUGGACCUAGCACCCACCCACGGCAGGACUCAUGGAUGGACCCAUGACCCACUAUCUGACCCAUAGCAUAACCCAGGAUCCAUGGCGUGACCCAUGGGUGAGGCCAGGACCCAUAGCAUGACCUGUGGUGCGACCCGCAACCCAUAGAUGGAUUCAGAACCUACGGUGGCUUCCAUGAUCACCCCGAGACCCAUAGCACAGCUCAGGGAUGGACCUAGGACCUAUGGUGGGACUCAGGGAUGGACCCAGGACCCAUAGCAUGACCCAGGGAUGGUCCCAGAACCCAUGGUUGGACCCACGGAUGGGCCCAAGACCUAUGGUGGGACUCAAGGAUGGACCCAGCCUCCCUAAUAUGACCCAUGGAUAGACCUGGGACCCAUGGUGGGACUCAGGGAUGGACCCAGGACCCAUCGCGGGACCCGUGGAUGGACCUGGGACCCAUAGUGUGACCCAUAGUUGGUCCCAGAACCCCUGGCAGGACUCAGGAAUGGGCCCAGGACCUAUGGAGUGACCCAUGGAUGAACCUAAGUCCUAUCGUGAGACCCAUGGCGUGACUUGGGCAU